RNAcentral lists this ribosomal RNA (579 nucleotides) under Ophiocordyceps sp. Its description in RNAcentral is "eukaryotic LSU rRNA". It matches the Rfam family "Eukaryotic large subunit ribosomal RNA", at positions 1 to 900 of the family's 3401-position model. The record is from RNAcentral. Lineage: Eukaryota; Fungi; Ascomycota; Sordariomycetes; Hypocreales; Ophiocordycipitaceae.
GUUGACCUCGGAUCAGGUAGGGCUACCCGCUGAACUUAAGCAUAUCAAUAAGCGGAGGAAAAGAAACCAACGGGGAUUGCCCCAGUAACGGCGAGUGAAGCGGCAACAGCUCAAAUUUGAAAUCUGGCCCCCCCCCGGCGGAUCACCCGGCGUUCGCUCGCCGGUGCACUCCGCCGGCGCCCGGGCCAGCAUCGGCUCGCCCGCGGGGGAUAAAGGCGGCGGGAACGUGGCCCCUCCGGGGGGUNUUAUAGCCCGCCGCGCAAGGCCCCGCGCCGCGGGCCGAGGNCCGCGCCCCCAGGCAAGGAUGCUGGCGUAAUGGUCGCCAGCGACCCGUCUUGAAACACGGACCAAGGAGUCGUCUUCGUAUGCGAGUGUUCGGGCGUCAAACCCCUACGCGCAAUGAAAGUGAACGCUGGUGAGAGCCCUCGCGGGCGCAUCACCGACCGAUCCUGAUGUUCUCGGAUGGAUUUGAGUAAGAGCAUACGGGGCCGGACCCGAAAGAAGGUGAACUAUGCCUGUGUAGGGUGAAGCCAGAGGAAACUCUGGCGGAGGCUCGCAGCGGUUCUGACGUGCAAAUCG